AGAGUUUGAUCCUGGCUCAGAACGAACGCUGGCGGCAGGCUUAACACAUGCAAGUCGAACGGUCUCUUCGGAGGCAGUGGCAGACGGGUGAGUAACGCGUGGGAAUCUACCCAGUUCUACGGAAUAACGCAGGGAAACUUGCGCUAAUACCGUAUACGCCCUACGGGGGAAAGAUUUAUCGGAAUUGGAUGAGCCCGCGUAAGAUUAGCUAGUUGGUGAGGUAAUGGCUCACCAAGGCGACGAUCUUUAGCUGGUCUGAGAGGAUGAUCAGCCACACUGGGACUGAGACACGGCCCAGACUCCUACGGGAGGCAGCAGUGGGGAAUAUUGGACAAUGGGCGCAAGCCUGAUCCAGCCAUGCCGCGUGAGUGAUGAAGGCCUUAGGGUUGUAAAGCUCUUUCAGUAGGGAAGAUAAUGACGGUACCUACAGAAGAAGCCCCGGCUAACUUCGUGCCAGCAGCCGCGGUAAUACGAAGGGGGCUAGCGUUGUUCGGAUUUACUGGGCGUAAAGCGCACGUAGGCGGAUCGUUAAGUCAGAGGUGAAAUCCCGGAGCUCAACUCCGGAACUGCCUUUGAUACUGGCGAUCUCGAGUCCGGAAGAGGUAAGUGGAACUCCUAGUGUAGAGGUGGAAUUCGUAGAUAUUAGGAAGAACACCAGUGGCGAAGGCGGCUUACUGGUCCGGAACUGACGCUGAGGUGCGAAAGCGUGGGGGAGCAAACAGGAUUAGAUACCCUGGUAGUCCACGCCGUAAACUAUGAGAGCUAGCCGUUGGGUGGUUUACCACUCAGUGGCGCAGCUAACGCAUUAAGCUCUCCGCCUGGGGAGUACGGUCGCAAGAUUAAAACUCAAAGGAAUUGACGG
This 862-nucleotide ribosomal RNA is filed under the name uncultured Devosia sp. Its description in RNAcentral is "bacterial SSU rRNA". It matches the Rfam family "Bacterial small subunit ribosomal RNA", at positions 8 to 916 of the family's 1533-position model. Lineage: Bacteria; Pseudomonadati; Pseudomonadota; Alphaproteobacteria; Hyphomicrobiales; Devosiaceae. The record is from RNAcentral.